GCCAUCAUGGGAUAGCUCAGUUGGUAGAGCAUGAGGCUCUGAAUCUCAAGGUCAUAGGUUCAAGUCCCAUGUUGGGCA
Molecule: non-coding RNA, 78 nt
Organism: Podarcis lilfordi (Lilford's wall lizard)
Lineage: Eukaryota; Metazoa; Chordata; Lepidosauria; Squamata; Lacertidae
Source: the annotation of a GenBank genome assembly